RNAcentral lists this ribosomal RNA (1293 nucleotides) under uncultured bacterium. RNAcentral describes it as "partial 16S ribosomal RNA". It matches the Rfam family "Bacterial small subunit ribosomal RNA", at positions 98 to 1399 of the family's 1533-position model. The record is from RNAcentral.
GCGGACGGGUGAGUAACGCGUGAGUGACCUGCCUCAUAGAGGGGAAUAACUUCUGGAAAGGGAUGCUAAUACCGCAUGAUGCAUCGGAGUUGCAUGGCUUUUAUGUCCAAAGAUCUAUUGGUCCAAGAUGGACUCGCGUCUGAUUAGCCAGUUGGUGAGGUAACGGCUCACCAAAGCGACGAUCAGUAGCCGGAUUGAGAGAUUGAACGGCCACAUUGGGACUGAGACACGGCCCAGACUCCUACGGGAGGCAGCAGUGGGGAAUAUUGCGCAAUGGGGGAAACCCUGAUGCAGCAACGCCGCGUGAAGGAUGAAGUUUUUCGGAAUGUAAACUUCUUUCAUCAGGGAAGAAGAAUGCGGUUCCUAAAUGAAUAAGCUCCGGCUAACUACGUGCCAGCAGCCGCGGUAAUACGUAGGGAGCAAGCGUUAUCCGGAUUUACUGGGUGUAAAGGGUGCGUAGGUGGUAUUGCUAAGUCAAGAUGUGAAAAUCCCAUGGGCUUCAACUCCUAUGGCACUGCUUUUUGAAAAUAUCGGGUUGGAGUGCAGUAGAGGUAGGGGGAAUUCCUUGUGUAGCGGUGAAAUGCGUAGAGAUUGGGAGGAACAUCAGUGGCGAAGGCGGCUUACUGGGCUUUAACUGACGCUGAGGCACGAAAGCGUGGGUAGCAAACAGGAUUAGAUACCCUGGUAGUCCACGCUGUAAACGAUGAUUACUAGGUGUGGGGGGUGUGGCGCCUUCGGUGCCGCAGCCAACACAGUAAGUAAUCCACCUGGGGAGUACGUUCGCAAGAAUGAAACUCAAAGGAAUUGACGGGGGCCCGCACAAGCGGUGGAGCAUGUGGUUUAAUUCGAAGCAACGCGAAGAACCUUACCAAGUCUUGACAUCCCUGUGACCGGUCAGUAACGUGUCCUUUUCUUCGGGACACAGGUGACAGGUGGUGCAUGGUUGUCGUCAGCUCGUGUCGUGAGAUGUUGGGUUAAGUCCCGCAACGAGCGCAACCCUUAUCCCCAGUAGCCAGCGGUUCGGCCGGGCACUCUGAGGAGACUGCCAGGGAUAACCUGGAGGAAGGUGGGGAUGACGUCAAAUCAUCAUGCCCCUUAUGAUUUGGGCUACACACGUGCUACAAUGGCGUAAACAAAGGGAAGCGAGACCGCGAGGUGGAGCAAAUCCCAAAAAUAACGUCCCAGUUCGGAUUGUAGUCUGCAACUCGACUACAUGAAGCUGGAACCGCUAGUAAUCGCAGAUCAGAAUGCUGCGGUGAAUACGAACCCGGGUCUUGCACUCACCGCCCGUCA